AAUCCGGGCGGCCGCGGGCCGGGCCGAGCGCCCGGCUCCGCCCCGCCGCCGCCGUCCAAUCGGUCGCAGCCGAGGGCUGGCGCGGAGACGCGCCGGCGGCGGGGAAGUUGGCUGCAGUGGGGAACCGGGGUUGCGGACUGGCGCUGUGGGGACGGCUGCGCGGGGUUCCGGGUGCCUCGGGAGGGAAGUGGCGGCCCCAGGAGGCCCUGGCUGAGAGAGGUUUGGGGCCACCGAGACCCUUAGGGGUCGCGGAGUGUCGGCGAGCUGUGGAGCGAGAAGCCUGGCCGCCUCGCGGACCGACUCCGGGUCGACAACGCCCACACCUGGCGUCCGCGGGAGGCGCCGAACUUGGCGGCCCCGAAGGAGCCCCAGCAGUCGGAGGAAACCGAGACCCAAAGAGGCCACGUGGGAGAGAUGAGAAGAGGCUAAAUACAGCCAUAUAAAAAACAACCAUCAAACUAGAAAGCACCUUCAGGCUUAACAUCAACAGCAAUGGAGAGCCAUGAUGGGUUGGUGAGUGGUCUGAUCAGGCCCGUGAUUUGGAAGGAUAAUUGGAGGUGGUGAUAAGUGUUCUUAUAGGAGAGAGCGGAAAAUGUGGGAGUCUUCAGGAUCAGAAGACCAAGACUGCCUUUUCCCUUAAUCAUGCCUGGCCACACCUAUGUUUUCCAUACGAAGGAGAGGCAGCCAGAUCCUGGGCAAGGUCAAAUAGAAACAGUCUCUCCCACUGCAUGGCACUGCAUUCCCUGGGAAUCUUCGUGGGCCCUGGAAGGCGUUGGCAAUGACACUUGUGUGGGAAUAGCAUCGCUGACAAGUGCCGUACAUGAGUUUAACCAAGCAGGAAACACCAUUUAGAACACCACUUGCUGAGAUGUGGCUCUUAUCUGUGUCUGUCAGUGAACAAUGACUACAACAAGCCCCGUUCAAUCACAGUUGUUAGCACAGCUAAUUACAGCAGUCUCGGGUGGGAGGAAUCCCAGCAGAGGCCUCUAAGGGACUUCCAUCACAGGUUCAAACAUUGGCUUUGCAGGUAAGCAAUGGAAAUAGGCCCCUUGGGGGGCCUUUAAACAACAGUUCUCCGCAACUCUGAACAUGGAUCCAUCUUCACUCCACAGCUGGCGAAGGAUCAUUUUCAAAAGAGAACCACCACCAGAGAACGAAGGAGGAAAGGGAUGUUUAAAGCCAGUAGGGUAAAUGUUCUGGAUUAAAUGAGAGCAGAACUGGGUAUUAUUCCUUGGGCCGUCUUUGACUCACUGCAUGACCUGACGGAGGUCGCUUCCCCUUUCUGGGCCUCACUGUUCUCAUCUCAAAAAUAAGGAUAAUAAUACUGGCUCUAUUUAUAUCACAGAUUGCUGAAAGAAUAAAAUAUGUAGUUUAAAAAAUAGAAGUUGGGGAAAAAUAGAAAAUGCCAUACAACUCUAGGUGGUGUCACUGUUAUUCCCCUUCUUUUCUACAUUUUACUGACAAAUGAUGAAAGGCAGUAAGAAAAAAGUCUGUGCUGUUGCAGAAUCUCAAACUUUAUUUUCU
Long non-coding RNA from Neomonachus schauinslandi (Hawaiian monk seal), 1524 nucleotides. RefSeq lists it as uncharacterized. The transcript is spliced from 4 exons. The record is from RefSeq and is a predicted model, not a curated record. Lineage: Eukaryota; Metazoa; Chordata; Mammalia; Carnivora; Phocidae.